UUUGAUUUCGUCUUACAUUUUUC
This 23-nucleotide microRNA is filed under the name Rehmannia glutinosa. RNAcentral's name for it is "rgl-miR7797b". Lineage: Eukaryota; Viridiplantae; Streptophyta; Magnoliopsida; Lamiales; Orobanchaceae. The record is from miRBase by way of RNAcentral.